Molecule: unclassified non-coding RNA, 259 nt
Filed under: Borreliella garinii
Lineage: Bacteria; Pseudomonadati; Spirochaetota; Spirochaetia; Spirochaetales; Borreliaceae
Description: partial 16S-23S ribosomal RNA intergenic spacer
Source: RNAcentral
CCGGUUCGGCUUUUUCGCGGGAGAGUAAGUUGUUGCCAGGGUUUUUGUUUUAUACUUUAAACAUUGAUUUUAUUUUUUAUGUUUUUAGAUGUUCAUGUUUUUGAAUGUUUUAUUCAAAUAAUAUAAAAAAUAAAAUAUAUAUUGACAUGGAUUAAACAAAGAUAUAUAUUAUUCUAUGUUGUAUAAACAAAUUGGCAAAAUAGAGAUGGAAGAUAAAAAUAUGGUCAAAGUAAUAAGAGUCUAUGGUGAAUGCCUAGGA